CCUACGGGUGGCAGCAGUGAGGAAUCUUCGUCAAUGGACGAGAGUCUGAACCAGCCAAGUAGCGUGAAGGAUGACUGCCCUAUGGGCUGUAAACUUCUUUUAUAUGGGAAUAAAAUGUUCCACGUGUCGGUUCACGUAUGUACCAUAUGUAUACGGAUCGGCUAACCCCGUGCCAGCAGCCCCGGUAAUACGGAGGAUACGAGCGUUAUCCGGAUUUAUUGGGUUUAAAGGGAACGUAGGUGGAUUGUUAAGUCAGUUGUGAAAGUUUUCGGCUCAACCGGAAAAGUGCAGUUGAAACUGGCAGUCUUGAGUACAGAAGAGGUGGGCGGAAUUCGAGGUGUAGCGGUGAAAUGCUUAGAUAUCACGAAGAACACCGGUUGCGAAGGCAGUUCACUGGACUGCAACUGACACUGAGGUUCGAAAGUGUGGGUAUCAAACAGGAUUAGAUACCCGAGUAGUC
This 460-nucleotide ribosomal RNA is filed under the name uncultured bacterium. RNAcentral's name for it is "partial 16S ribosomal RNA". It matches the Rfam family "Bacterial small subunit ribosomal RNA", at positions 338 to 795 of the family's 1533-position model. The record is from RNAcentral.